RNAcentral lists this ribosomal RNA (853 nucleotides) under uncultured bacterium Pn9. Its description in RNAcentral is "SSU rRNA". It matches the Rfam family "Bacterial small subunit ribosomal RNA", at positions 524 to 1382 of the family's 1533-position model. Lineage: Bacteria; Pseudomonadati; Bacteroidota. The record is from RNAcentral.
UACGGAGGAUGCAAGCGUUAUCCGGAUUUAUUGGGUUUAAAGGGUGCGCAGGCGGAACGGUAAGUCAGGGGUGAAAUUUAGCUGCUUAACAGCAAAACUGCCUUUGAUACUGCCCUUCUAGAGUUUAAAUGACGUUGCCGGAAUGUGAUGUGUAGCGGUGAAAUGCAUAGAUAUGUCACAGAACGCCGAUCGUGAAGACAGGUAACGAAUUUAAUACAGACGCUCAUGCACGAAAGCGUGGGGAUCAAACAGGAUUAGAUACCCUGGUAGUCCACGCUGUAAACGAUGAUCACUCGUUGUUGGGUAGCAAUACUCAGUGGCCAAGCGAAAGCGAUAAGUGAUCCACCUGGGGAGUACGAUCGCAAGGUUGAAACUCAAAGGAAUUGACGGGGGCCCGCACAAGCGGAGGAGCAUGUGGUUUAAUUCGAUGAUACGCGAGGAACCUUACCCGGGCUUGAAUUGCAGCGGAAUAAAGUGGAAACAUUUUAGCCUUCGGGCCGCUGUGAAGGUGCUGCAUGGUUGUCGUCAGCUCGUGCCGUGAGGUGUUAGGUUAAGUCCUGCAACGAGCGCAACCCUUACACUUAGUUGCCAGCACGUCAUGGUGGGGACUCUAUGUGAACUGCCUACGCAAGUAGAGAGGAAGGUGGGGAUGACGUCAAAUCAGCACGGCCCUUAUGUUCGGGGCUACACACGUGCUACAAUGGUCGGUACAGAGGGCUGCUACCCCGCGAGGGGAUGCUAAUCUCCAAAGCCGAUCUCAGUUCGGAUCGGAGUCUGUAACUCGACUCCGUGAAGUUGGAUUCGCUAGUAAUCGCACAUCAGCCAUGGUGCGGUGAAUACGUUCCCGGGCCUU